AAGUGAAGUACCUUGCCCAAGAUGACAAGCUAAUGAGAAGAGAUGCUGGGGUUCAGACUCUGGCAGUCCAGCCUCUGAGCCCAUUCAUAGGUCUCUACCUCCCCUCUCCCUACCUCUCUCUUAGUGGGAGCCUGCCUAUCCUUCAAACCUUGAUGAAACUGAGCAAUCCUAAAACAAUGGCAGAGGGUGAGGAAGAAAGGCCGGAAAUACAUUUUUCUGCUGGUGGGUGAUUUCCUUCUUACUACAAGCCUGAUUUCUUACAGCAUUUUAAAGAUUCUUCCUCAAUCAGACACUCUCACACACCAUUUGAUGAGCACAAGACCACCAUCUUUGUAGAGGGCACUUGAACAGAAUCCAGCGGCGUCCUUAGUGUAUUUGACACCCACAACUGAUCAUCUAUCAACCUCUCUCCUCUAGCUUAAAUUCAGGACUAUGCUGUGCCAUAGAAGCUGAAGAUGCAACUUGGCCCCAAAGCUCUAGUGAAAGCUGUA
Molecule: long non-coding RNA, 491 nt
Filed under: Pan troglodytes (chimpanzee)
Lineage: Eukaryota; Metazoa; Chordata; Mammalia; Primates; Hominidae
Description: long non-coding RNA NONPTRT013012
Source: RNAcentral